AGGACACCAACCCGUCGAGAAAACUGGAAUGCAGAGGAGAAGAUGUGAUGCAGGAACAUCGGGCCUAAGCUGAGAACGGCCGGAUGUGGAUCCCUGUGUUCCGCAAGUGGCAGCAAUGUCAAGUCUCUCGAAGUAUUCCGCCCGUCUUCGCUUUCCGACCCCACCGAUCCUCCAGAGCAUCCUGUAAGGUGAUCAAGAACCACAUUCUCAAACUCUUCCGGAACAAGUUGGAAGAUAUACUCAGAAAGUUUAUCAUUUUAUCAAGAUGGAAUUUUUUUAAAUUAUAGAAUGAACUCCAACAUGUAAGGAACUUGAAAGUCAUCACACCAUCCUCACAAAAAAAGACUAAAUCAAAAAAUCAUUAACUUUUUUCAUAGAUCCAUCAGAGAACUGAGGUCACAGGGCAAAGGACCCAUCAAAAUUUGGAGAGACAGGCAAAUACAAAGAAAGAGCCAAGAUGAGAGUCGUUAAAACAGAAGCCACUAGAGCCAGGAACUGGUAGGGAAGCUUAAAGAAUAGUUUUGACAAAUGGUUGGAUAAUGAUUGUGGACAAAUUGAAGAAUUAAAACCUCCUGGGGAAUCAGAUAUAAGAGGUUCCUCACACUAUAUGGGAGUUAUAUCCAGGAACACCACUACAUGAGUGAUGAGUGGAGAAAAUUCCUUCCUGUCUUGAGUAGGGGAGAGAAAAUAAAACAUUUUGAAAAGAACAUUUUGAAGUGUUCCCAUAUUAUUCUUGAUUACAGUCUUCUCUCUGUUGAACCUCUGCCCUGCAUAGCCAACAGCAAAGUACAAACUGGUUUUAAAGUUUUAUCUCUAAGAUAGGUGAACAAGGUCAUUAUUUCACACUCUCAGAAAGAAGACAGGUUUCUGCCAAUCUUUGUUCUGAACUGAAUCCAAGACAGCACCUCAAGGAUGAUUUGUGGUUCCAGGCCACUCAGCAACAUGUUGUGGAUCAUAAAGAAAAAUCUGUACCUGUUUUGCCCAGUUCUGUAGUUCUUCUUCAAGCUCUUAGUACAAAAAUAUACUAUGUCUUGGUAGCACAAACUGACUAAUUCAUUCCUUGUGAAGGUCUGAAGAUGUGCAUAUGGCAGAAGACCUCCACCUUCUAUACACUGUAAAUUAAUAGUUAGCAAACUUGAUUAACUGUCAUUCUCCACAUGGUGUCAUGCAAUGAUUGUUGGUCUUUUCUUUAAAAGUGACUCUUACUCUAAUUCCUAAAAUAUGUCAAUGUGAACAUCACCUAGGGCCAGAAAUUCUAUGUGAUUAAUUAAUUGGUCUCAUGAUAACAGACCAUAGAUGUUCUGUCAACCACAACUGAGCCUAACAUAAACUAAUACAUGUACAUAAACACGAUUUUUAACUUCUAUCUGGAAAAAGUAAAAAUGAGAGAAGCUACUUAUAUCACAAAAAAAUGCUGUUUUAUGUAAUACAUGUCAAGCUAUCAGAAAUCACUGAGGAAAGGACAAAAAAAAACACUUUAAAAAAUUGGGAAAUGUUGUGGGCAGACCAUAGAAUAAGAAAUACAACUGGUUUUAAAACAUAUAAAAGGAUGCCCACACUCAAUUAAAAGGUAAAUUUAUAUUACUCUUAUACUUAAAAAACAGAUAAUUUCACAUUGCAAAAUGGAAAUGAGGCACAGUCACAGACUGUUUUCGGGGAUUUAGACUGACUUAGAUCACUUAACCUAGAGCACUUUUGAGAGUGAAACAGACACUAUUUAAAUCAAUAUUCAUAAUCUACAGUUCUGGGUAACUGCAGUCAUGCAAUUUAUGGAACUGUAACAUUUUCACCAUGCUAUAGUUGUGUGUCUGUCUUUCUAAAUGGACAGGAAACACAUUGGUGGAAAGUAUCAUAAAAUUUUUUCCAUGAAAGUAUCAGGUAAUUUUUUCCUAAAUGUUUAGUACUUUGCAUAGAAUAUGUGCUUAAAUAUUUUUAAAUGAAUUAAAAUGGCUUAAUUAAUUCACUAGUGCCUAAAGGGACUGAGGCAUGGAGCAUAUCAAACUCACCAACUAUACUAGGAGAAGCCAAUGAUGAGAAGUGCCUAGACAAGAGGUGGAGUAGAGAUUACGAUACACAAAAUUUUCUGUCUUUGAGGCACCUCACAAAUUGAGGGAGAGAAAAGAAAGUAAUUUUCUAAGGCUGAACUUCAGCUGUAGAUGUAUAGAAAAGAAAGGGCCAAUCUACAUAGUUCAAUAAGUUAAGUGUAGGUGUCUGGAAAUGUUCAAAACCUGAACAUCAAGUAGUUGAGACUCAUUCUCUCAAAUUUGGAAUAAAUUUGCAAUUUGGAAUAAACCAGCAUGGUAGGCAGAAUAAUGGCUUCCCCGACCAUGUCCAUAUUCCUAAUCCUUGGAAGUUUGAAUAUUUAUAUUACUUGGGAAAAGAGAAUUAAAGUUGAGGGUGGAAUUAAGGUUCCUAAUCAGUUUACCUAAAAUAGGGAGAUUAUCCUGGAAUACCUGGAUGGUUUCAAUAUAAUCACAAGGGUCCCUAAAAGAUGAAAGAGAAAGCCAGAAGACUCACUGUCCGAGUGGUUAAUAUGAGAAAGACUAGAGCAGCCACUGUUGGCUUUGAUGAUGGAAAGGAGUCACAAGCCAAUGAAGGCCCUUUCUAGGAACUGGAAAAGGCAAGAAAACAUUCUCCCUUAGAGCCUCCAAUGAGGAAUGCAGCCACGCCAACACUUUGAUUUUAGCCCAGUGAGACCCAUUUCAGACUUCUGACCUACAGAAAUCUAAAAUAAAAAAAGAAACAUGGUGCCUUUCCUCAGUCAAAGGUCUUAAUGCAAAAUGAGUACGAGCCUCUAGAUCUCCAGAGAGCAGUCUAAGGGCCCAGGUGGGUAGGGAGCUGGGUGCCAGCCACGAGAAACACAGAGAUUCUGUCCCACUUUGCAGCUGGACCUUGGUGUGUGUCUGGGAAGACCUGCUCUUACUCUGGUAAUGACACAUGUCCCUCGGGUCAUUGACAUGAAGUGUAAGGGAAGAACAGAUCAGCUGUAUGGAACAAAUAAUCAGGAAACUUGACCCCAUGCUCUCCUACACCAUUUCUGCUGCAGCUUUCAUCACAUCUCUGUCUGGAAUGAACCCUCUCCUGCUCUCUCUCCACUCCAUGUAGAACAGCUUUUAAUUUCUCAGCUGAGACCUUACCUAUCUCUUCCAUGUUGCUUUUUGGAAACCUCACAGGAAGGAUGGACAACCUGUUCUUUUUGGGUCCCCUCUAAAAGUGGUAGACUUCUCACAUAGCAUCAAUAACAAGCUGCUGCUCUUACAUGGUAAACACAAAUCUCAUUUUCUCAGUGAUGUGUGCAAGAGAUGUCAAGCUCUUUAUCUCCUGUCAAAAUUUCUCAUUUGAAAUAAAUCCAUUUCUGUUUUGUUAUGCACAGUUCCAGAAUUUCUACUUUUUAAACAAUUCUGUUAUGUGUAUGUCUUUGUAUUGCUAAAACUGUAUGUCUAAAACUGAUUCUGAUAUAAUCUGGAUUCCUAUGGAUCUAUUUUCAUUGUCUGUAUUUCCUUUGGAUUUUUAUCAUGUGGUGUUUAUCAUGUGGUGUUAGCUCCUUGUGUGUCUGGGAAUACUUUUAAUUUCUCUUUGAGUGUCUGACAUAGUACUUGAAAAGUUAGAAAAAAAAUGAGACUUCCUCUUCACUUUCAUUCUGAUAAAUUACUGAAUAGCCUUAAUCCUAUUAUAAGGAUUGAGAGUAAACUGAAUGUGAUUCUCAGUACUUUCAACAGUCAAUUUCAUUAUAGGUCAAAUUUAUUCAUACAGUUUAACCCCUCGGAGUUCCAAACCAAACACUGAGGGUGUCUAGCAGGACUGCACCUUCUUUACAAAAUACGGACUUUAAGUUUUGUCUUUCUA
This is a long non-coding RNA of Manis pentadactyla (Chinese pangolin), 3846 nucleotides long. RefSeq lists it as uncharacterized. The transcript has 3 exons. The record is from RefSeq and is a predicted model, not a curated record. NCBI's taxonomy places the organism in Eukaryota, Metazoa, Chordata, Mammalia, Pholidota, Manidae.